RNAcentral lists this ribosomal RNA (253 nucleotides) under uncultured bacterium. RNAcentral's name for it is "partial 16S ribosomal RNA". It matches the Rfam family "Bacterial small subunit ribosomal RNA", at positions 524 to 776 of the family's 1533-position model. The record is from RNAcentral.
UACGUAGGGUGCGAGCGUUGUCCGGAAUUAUUGGGCGUAAAGAGCUCGUAGGCGGUUUGUCGCGUCUGCUGUGAAAACGCGAGGCUUAACCUCGCGCCUGCAGUGGGUACGGGCAGACUAGAGUGCGGUAGGGGAGACUGGAAUUCCUGGUGUAGCGGUGGAAUGCGCAGAUAUCAGGAGGAACACCGGUGGCGAAGGCGGGUCUCUGGGCCGUUACUGACGCUGAGGAGCGAAAGCAUGGGGAGCGAACAGG